Molecule: non-coding RNA, 1200 nt
Organism: Malus domestica (apple)
Lineage: Eukaryota; Viridiplantae; Streptophyta; Magnoliopsida; Rosales; Rosaceae
Source: RefSeq, a predicted model, not a curated record
AAAUAAAAAAAAAAAGAAAAAAGAAAAAAAAGAAGAGUUGUUGAACACAAAAGGACAGAAAAGACCGAAGCUUUUCGUAGUGAUAACUGUUUAUAGACCAAUAAAAACACACUUUUAACAGUAAAAAUAUUAAAAAAACUUUCCCAUUUCGUGGAAAAGGAAACCAAGAAAAAGCCAGUCAAGCACUCUCUCUUUUCCUCUCUUUUCUUCUCCAAUCCCAUCCAAACGUUUUUUUCUGCAAAAAUCCAUCUCCAUUCACACACCUUUUUACAAUUUUCCCAGAAAAAAUUAUUGGGCAAGUAUUUUUAUAUAAAUCGUAUGUUGCACUUGUUUUUUUGUUGACCGGGAAAGUCUGUCUUUGUGGAAAAAAAAUCCAUCUCCAUUCACACACCUUUUUACAAUUUUCCCAGAAAAAAAUUAUUGGGCAAGUAUUUUUAUAUAAAUCGUAUGUUGCACUUGUUUUUUUGUUGACCGGGAAAGUCUGUCUUUGUGGAAAAAGAAGGAAGCUUUGCUGUGGAUUCAAGAACCCUUCUCCGGGAUCUUUGAUUCAUCUGUGUUUUCUGCAAGGGAAUUAUCUCAGGGCUUGGUGUUUACUAAAGCUGGGGUUUUGUGGAAUUUGGUAUUCUUGAGCUCUGAUUAGUGCCACAACAAUUUAUAUAAGCUACGAAGUGCCUUUGCUGAAAUUGGAAAGAAAAAAAAAGGGGUUUGAGAACGUGGCAUUAAUUAACAUCAAGUUAGUUUUGUUGCGUUGCAAGAUUCUCUACACAAAAAGAAUUCCCGUCGGGGAUGUUUCCUGGCCGACGAGCACACAGCUCCCCUGGAGGUUCGGCGCCAGUUGAGGGUUGCUGUCGGACUUCUGCUUUCCUGUCGGGCUUUGUCGGGCAAGUCUCGUCGGGCAAGACUCUUCGGGCAAGGAUGAAAGAGAAGGACAGCGUUAACUUUGAGAGGUGCCUUUGUGGGGCCUUAGGUGUAGGCCUUGAGGCUCACAAUCAAGGUUAACAUUUUAGUGCUCAGGCGUGCCACUGCCAUCUUCAGCAUGGCAGAUGUCGAAUGGAUGUCACGUUUUAGUUGUGAAUAUGCAUAUGCCCGAGAAACCGUGUUAGAUAUAACAGGUGCCUUUGUGGGGCCUUAGGUGUAGGUCUUGAGGCUUUCUGUCAAACUAAACCAGUACUUGAGCAUAUUAUAUUUGGUCUUUAUGGU